ACUGGGCGUGGUGGUGCAUGCCUGUAAUCCCAGCAGCCAGGAGGCUGAGGCAGGAGGAUUACAAGUUCUCUGCAACAACUUAGAGAGGCCCUAAGCAACUCAGUGAGACCCUAUCUCUA
This 119-nucleotide small RNA is filed under the name Marmota monax (woodchuck). The record is from RNAcentral. Lineage: Eukaryota; Metazoa; Chordata; Mammalia; Rodentia; Sciuridae.